RNAcentral lists this long non-coding RNA (1669 nucleotides) under Homo sapiens (human). RNAcentral describes it as "HSALNT0010110". The record is from RNAcentral. Lineage: Eukaryota; Metazoa; Chordata; Mammalia; Primates; Hominidae.
AUUUUUUUUAACAUAUUUGAUGUAUAUCUUUAAUAUACAAAGAGCCUUUACAAAUCAAUAAGACAAUAUAAUCCUCCCAACAGGAAAAUAUAGAAAAACAAUUUACAAAUAAUAAAUAAAUACACACAUAUUCUGUGUCAGUCAGAGUUUAACCACUGAAGAAUAACCAGUAUGAGAUACAUAUUAAGAUAUUGACUGUGGGGACUUGGCUUACAUGAUUGUAUGUCUGAAAUCCAUCACGUGGGUCCUCAGGAAAGGUAGACUGAAGCUGUCCAUAGGUGAAGUUUCCUCUUCAGGAAACAGCUAUGCUCUUAAGUCCUCUUAAUGAUUGAAUCAGGCCCACCUAGAUUACCUCAAAUAAUCUCCCUUCCUUAAAGGCAACUGAUUAUGGACUUUAAUCACUUCUCAAAAUAUCUUCACAGCAACAUCACAGUUUAAUGUGUCAAGUUAAUACAACAAAAAUCGUACUGUCUAUCCCUUGAAAACUUGACAGUUAUACACAUUUUCCUAAACCAUAUUUAAUCUCCAAGCAGAAAAAAAAGUCAUAUAUUUCUACCUAACCUGAAACAAUUAUCUUUCAUAUAACUGAAAACACAGUAACCUUUUCACCAGAAAAGGAUGCAAAGUUUUUUGGGAGUUGUUCCUUCUUUUUUUAUAUCCAGUAACUUAAAUAAUGUGAUAUAAAGUUAACUAUUAUUAAUACAUCUUAUAUUAAAUGAUGGGGGAUAAGAAAAAAAGAAAUCAAAAUGUCAUUUACAUAUAUAUAUACACACACACACACACAAAUACAUACACACACUCAUAUGCCCACAUACAAACAUAUUCAUAACAAAAUAAGGAAGAAAUACUUACAACAUUUACAGUCAUUGUUUCUGCAAUUGGUCACACACUUGUAGCUGAUAUUUGUAACUGCCUUCUCCCACUAGGCACUCCGUAUUCCCUUUUCCUUCAGCAGCACCUCUGAUGGUCAUGGUUGUUUGCCUGGUGGAGUGAUCCAAACCUUCCUUUCUGAAGAGUCUGGGCCACUCUCAGGUUUGUUAUAGUUUUCCAUUGGCUUUAAUCACAGGACAUGGGAGUACUAGGAGAUGCCAACCUAAGGGCCUCCUGCAUUCUAAACAUAGUGUCCGUUACCUCCAUUGUGGAGUAGCAGUUUAAUUUCCCCUUGAUGAUUAGGACUGAUAAUCCCAGCCAGUACAGUAACUCUCUUCUUUGCCUGUGAACUCAGAGACAUGAGGAGCUUACAAUGGUCAGGUAAUAGCUUCAAUUUCCAGAUCAAUGGAAUCAUUGUGAUGUCUUCUGGUAGAAGCACUCCUAACUUUGGAACUAAGACUUCUAGAUCAACAAUGCAAAAGUUCAGGGGGAUGGCAAGCAAAACUCCUGAUAGUGGCUUCCCAGGAGUAAGAGUGAGUGGAGUCAUUUUCAUCCCUUGAUUUUCUCGUUUUCACCCCUUGAUUCCUGGACCCAUGAAUCCUGGCUAUGGGAGAAGCAGCACCAUACACUAGAUGCAGAUUUACAGCACAUACAGCCUCCUGGAGGAAAGUACUUCAGUCCUGGAAGGUGUCGCCAUGUAGUUGGUGCUGUCUCUGAAUUUCCAAAAGGCCAUUCCAAUAUUCUAUGAAGCAGCUACUUCAGGAUGCUGAGGAACAUGAAAGUGGUCACUGUGGUGGUA